AAAGAGAGAGAAUCAUCGAGAAAAAAAAGAGAAAAGAAAAUAAACUUGAGGGUUCAAAAGAAGCACUAGCCAAAGAAGGGGACUCGGUUGCAAAACAAGAAUAGAAAAGAAAAACCCAGCGAAAAAAAGAAGAAGAGAAUCUUAAGAAAGGAAAACGAACCAACACAGUGAAACUAACAGUAAGAUUGACUUUGAACCAAAAACACUUGUUUCCCAUUUUGUUUGAAU
Molecule: long non-coding RNA, 228 nt
Filed under: Lathyrus oleraceus (garden pea)
Lineage: Eukaryota; Viridiplantae; Streptophyta; Magnoliopsida; Fabales; Fabaceae
Description: Pisum sativum (pea) long non-coding RNA (PSAT_LNC023578)
Source: RNAcentral